CAGCAACAGAAGUUCUGCAUUUGAGUCUUAGCUGAUUGGAACAGCAGGGGAGACAGUGAAAUUAGUAACAGGCAAAGAGAUGCUCCACGUUGGUCUUCAUCAUCAUUUAAAAAAUUGCCUUUUGAGUGGAAGGGGAAGACGUGUUUUAAAAAGAACUUAACUUGUGUAAGCAAAUCCAGGGCUGCCACUUGAGAGUGCAGUUCUGCAGAGAAACACCUAAAGGAGAAGCUUCAUCUGAAGUGGCCUUGACCACCUUCCUCCCUGGGUGCUUCCUACCACCACAUUAACAGCGAUGAUCCAAUGGUGACGUGAUGGACCGUGACCGGAGUGGUGCGUCUCGGUGCUGUGAUGCAGGCCCAGUCAUCUCCCUCAGAAAGUCAUUCCCUGUGCAUGGCUGGCCUGAGCCAACUUACUCCGUGGCAACGUGCCCAUUGUUUGCUGUGAAUUUAGAACCUGAAGCUAAGGAUGAAAGCCCUUGUCAGCUGUGCAGACACUGAAGCAACAAGCCUGAGAUGGGGUCAUGUUUUUUAACAAAGGAAGCUACAGCUAGCAAACCAGUAGGCAUCUUCUCAAGAGAGGGCAGCAAGCCUUGCUGACAAAACAGACAGGUAUUAUCCCACACUAAAAUGAUUGCUAUGUGCAUGAUU
RNAcentral lists this long non-coding RNA (647 nucleotides) under Anser brachyrhynchus (Pink-footed goose). RNAcentral describes it as "lncRNA (ENSABRG00000015605.1)". Lineage: Eukaryota; Metazoa; Chordata; Aves; Anseriformes; Anatidae. The record is from RNAcentral.